GGAAUCUUCCGCAAUGGGCGAAAGCCUGACGGAGCAACGCCGCGUGAGUGAAGAAGGGUUUCGGCUCGUAAAGCUCUGUUGACGGGGACGAAUGUGCGAAAUGCGAAUAGUUUUUCGCAAUGACGGUACCCGUCGAGGAAGCCACGGCUAACUACGUGCCAGCAGCCGCGGUAAUACGUAGGUGGCAAGCGUUAUCCGGAUUUAUUGGGCGUAAAGCGAGCGCAGGCGGUUUCUUAAGUCUGAUGUGAAAGCCUUCGGCUUAACCGAAGAAGUGCAUCGGAAACUGGGAAACUUGAGUGCAGAAGAGGACAGUGGAACUCCAUGUGUAGCGGUGAAAUGCGUAGAUAUAUGGAAGAACACCAGUGGCGAAGGCGGCUGUCUGGUCUGUAACUGACGCUGAGGCUCGAAAGCAUGGGUAGCGAACA
This 425-nucleotide ribosomal RNA is filed under the name uncultured bacterium. RNAcentral describes it as "bacterial SSU rRNA". It matches the Rfam family "Bacterial small subunit ribosomal RNA", at positions 358 to 774 of the family's 1533-position model. The record is from RNAcentral.